This 2406-nucleotide ribosomal RNA is filed under the name Chaetonotus sp. 1 TK-2012. RNAcentral describes it as "eukaryotic LSU rRNA". It matches the Rfam family "Eukaryotic large subunit ribosomal RNA", at positions 39 to 2125 of the family's 3401-position model. Lineage: Eukaryota; Metazoa; Gastrotricha; Chaetonotida; Chaetonotidae. The record is from RNAcentral.
CAUAUCACUAAGCGGAGAAAAAGAAAAUAACAAUGAUUCCUAGAGUAACGGCGAGUGAAAUAGGAAGAGCCCAUAGCCGAAUUCUGCUGUCCUCGAUGGCAGCUAGAAGUUGUGGCGUUGGGAACUGCCUAUUGUAACCGAUCGGCCGGGCUACGCGACUCCUCUUGAUUGUGGUUUGCCCAUAGCAGGUGAAAGGCCUAUUGGUCGUAGCCUCGUGCUGAAGGCCGGCGGUGAUGGCAGUCCUUAGAGUCGGGUUGUUUGGGAUUGCAGCCCGAAGUAGGUGGUAAACUCCACCUAAGGCUAAAUACGAUCGCGAGUCCGAUAGCGCACAAGUACCGUGAGGGACAGUUGAAAAGAACUUUGAAGAGAGAGUUCAAAGUACGUGAAACCGUUCAGAGGUAAACGGGUAGAAAGUCGAAUUGAAGGUUGACAAUCAGACCGUUGGCAUAGUCGGGGUUGGGCUGGUAGCACGUUAAAGGCURCCGGUUUGCUCGUAAGGCUGGCUACGGUUGUAUUUGUUGGCUUUACAUCGCCGCGACGACAGUCACUGACCGGCUGGCACGUGCCCCUCUGGUCGACGUGGAUCCGUAUGGGUCUUCACAACGUCGGCACAAGGACAGGCGCCCCGCGUACAUGGCACAGUCGAUAAUAUACAGCGAUAUAAGCGUUCCAGCUGAUUGUCGUUCGUCUUGUAUUGGCAGGCCGAUCUUAAACAAGCUCGACUGUUGACAUCAGGGCGGCGGCAGUUGGUUUAACGACGGAACAAGCAUCGCAUUGGCGGCGUUUGACUACGAAUUAUCUACCUGACCCGUCUUGAAACACGGACCAAGGAGUCUAACAUGUGCGCGAGCCAUUGGGAUUUAAUAUAAUAAACCCAAAGGCAAAGUGAAAGCAAAAAUGGUGAGAUCCGUCGUUUAUUUGUUAAGAAUAGCGGCGGCGCAUCAUCGUCACGCUUCAAUUCGGCUUCGGCUGAAGAGGCGCAGACUGAGCGCACAAGUUGGGACCCGAAAGAUGGUGAACUAUGCGUGGUAAGGUCGAAGCCAGAGGAAACUCUGGUGGAGGACUGUAGCGGUUCUAACGUGCAAAUUGAUCGUGCUAACUGCGUAUAGGGGCGAAAGACUAAUCGAACCAUCUAGUAGCUGGUUCCCUCCGAAGUUUCCCUCAGGAUAGCUGGCACUUUCGGAGAGCAGUUUUGUCCGGUAAAGCGAAUGACUAGAGGCCUUGGGGACAUAACGACCUCAACCUAUUCUCAAACUUUGAAUGGGCAAGAAGAGUGACUCACUUAACUGGAGUCACUUAAUGAAUGCUUGAGUGCCAAGUGGGCCAUUUUUGGUAAGCAGAACUGGCGCUGUGGGAUGAACCAAACGUCUAGCUAAGGCGCCAAAUGCUAACGCUCAUCCGAUCCCAUUAAAGGUGUUGGUUGAUAGAGACAGCAGGACGGUGGCCAUGGAAGUCGGAACCCGCCAAGGAGUGUGUAACAACUCACCUGCCGAAUCAACCAGUCCUGAAAAUGGAUGGCGCUGAAGCGUUGUGAGCCUAUGCUAGACCGGCAUUGCAAUUCUAAUCAAAUCAAGCGAUGCCGAGUAGGAGGGUCGCUGUGGUAUGCGUUGAAGCUUUGGGCGAGGGCCCGAGUCGAGCUUCCACAGGUGCAGAUCUUGGUGGUAGUAGCAAAUAUUCAAAAGAGAACUUUGAAGGCCGAAGUGGAGAAGGGUUCCAUGUGAACAGCAUUUGAACAUGGGUCAGUCGGUCCUAAGCGAUAGGCUAAUGCCGUUCUGAAAGCAGGCUUUUGUUGUAAUCUAAACAAUUCAAUGAUAAUGCCUGAUUUUGGUCGAAAGGGAAUCGGGUUAAUAUUCCCGAACCUGGACGCGGAGAUGGGGCGUAGUGUAACAACUGCGCUCAGUGCGGUAACGCAAACGAUCUCGGAUUCGUCGGCGGGAGUCCUGGGAAGAGUUCUCUCUUCUUUGUAAGGGGCUGAAUCCCUGGAAUCGGCUUAGCCGGAGAUAGGGAUAUUGCAACAGCGCCCGUAAAGCACCACACUUCUUGUGGUGUCCGGUGCACGACUGUCGACACUUAAAAGUCCGAGCUAGACGUUCAUAAUGUUCGCGCCAGGCCGUACCCAUAUCCGCAGCAGGUCUCCAAGGUGAACAGCCUCUGGUCUUAGACUGAUGUAGUCAAGGGAAGUCGGCAAAUUGGAUCCGUAACUUCGGAACAAGGAUUGGCUCUAUGGGUUGGGCCGUGACGGGCUGUGCUAGCAAGCGAUGCCUGCUACUGAUGCUUCGGGUCUGACUGGCAACGGUUGGGCCUAGCGUCGGUUGGCGGCGCGUGGAUCUGGCAUGGCUUAGYCGGCGAUCUUCGGGUCGUCGGCAUCGUUCGGCAAAAAGCAACCACCAUAGAACUGGUACGGAC